Long non-coding RNA from Syzygium oleosum, 956 nucleotides. RefSeq lists it as uncharacterized. The record is from RefSeq and is a predicted model, not a curated record. NCBI's taxonomy places the organism in Eukaryota, Viridiplantae, Streptophyta, Magnoliopsida, Myrtales, Myrtaceae. The transcript is spliced from 3 exons.
UUCAAGUUUCAUACCAGAGCCCAAUCAAAAUGACCAGGGAUUUUGCAGAGGAAGAAUCAGCAACAGUUGAGGGCCAUCUUGCGUGCCAAUCAUGAAGAGGCUCAUGGGCCAACUCGAUUGUACUGAGGAAGUUUCGAUAAUUGUGAAGAUCCAAACACCUGAUUUGGUCUCAACAGCACAUUCCUGAAUGCUUAGUUGUUUGAUGCAGUUGCUUUCUAAUGAUAUCGCUCCCGUGCUUUCCUCAAGACUCUUGAAACUCUGUGUUAGAGAGUUUGAUAAGCCGAUAUCACUUAAGCUUGAUGGAUACAAGUACUUGGAAGAGCUUUCAACAGAAAAGUGAGGUUCCAUUGAAAGAUCGGACCUUUCACCAUCAAUUCGUCUGAAACAAUUAUGCGCUGAGCAUUGCAAUAACCUAGUUGAAAUUCAAGGCUAUGAGAAUUUGGAGUUCUUGGAGGACAUAUUUAUAUGUGGCUGCAAUUCCAUUAAAAUGCUUCUCUGUCCAGAAUCGCGGUGUUUGAAGCAUUUAGUGGCUAGGAGAUGCAACAAUCUAGUCGAAAUUCGAGGCCUUGACGGUGCGAAGUUCUUAGUAAAAUUGGAUAUCACGAGAUGCAUAUCAAUGGAGACUUUGCCAAAUGUAACCGGAUAUGAGAAGUUAUGAUCUCUAGUAGUUGAAGACUGUAAGAAACUUACUCAGCUUUGGGGAUUUGAAAAGUUGGAUUUAAUUGAUUUGGAUAUUUCUGGUUGCGACUCAUUGGAAGCAAUACGGAAAUUAUCUGGAACACGCCUCUUUAGAAAUUAUCAAGAAGAGCUGUCUUGCGACUCAUGGAGUGAUGUUUCCUCACCAGAGGUUCUGUACUUUCCUAAAUUGCUAGUCUUACAUGAUUGAAGGAGUGGGGGAGUUGGUCAUAGAAAUGCUUCAGCCAAGAUCAAAAUGUUGACGCAAAUGUCAAUAGAAG